AUGUGCAUUGCGAAUUCACAAGGAGGUUUGGGAUUCCGAGACCUGGAGAUUUUUAAUGACGCGUUGUUAGCAAAGCAAGCUUGGAGGUUACUUGGGAAUCCAAAUACUCUGUGUGCCAGAGUGCUUAAAGCACGGUAUUUCCCUAAUGAUGGUUUUCUAAUGACGGGUUGUCCCGCUAGUUCUUCUAAGACUUGGAAAGCGAUUAUCCAAGGGAGAGAGAUGUUGAAGACAUGGCUCAUACGGCGAGUUGGCAAUGGAGAGACCACCAAGGUGUGGCAUGAUCAGUGGAUAGAUGGCACCAUAUCAAUGAAACCGAUGGGAGCUCUCAAGCCGAACUCAGUCCAGUUUGUAUCUGAUUUGCUUGACCCAGGGUCAAAUCAGUGGGAUACGGAGCUAGUACAAAGUAUCUUUUUCCCCCUGACGUGGAAGCUAUACUUGCCAUGGCGAGACCACGUGUGGGAGGGGCGGAUGUAUGGGCUUGGGCAAGAGAGAAGUCUGGCCUCUUUACGGUCAGGUCGACAUAUAAACAUGCAAUGCAAACCAAGUUACAGAUGCAAGUGA
RNAcentral lists this ribosomal RNA (561 nucleotides) under Triticum aestivum (bread wheat). RNAcentral describes it as "partial small subunit ribosomal RNA". Lineage: Eukaryota; Viridiplantae; Streptophyta; Magnoliopsida; Poales; Poaceae. The record is from RNAcentral.